Callithrix jacchus (white-tufted-ear marmoset) is the source of this 2079-nucleotide non-coding RNA. The record is from RefSeq and is a predicted model, not a curated record. Lineage: Eukaryota; Metazoa; Chordata; Mammalia; Primates; Cebidae.
GUGCCAUAUAAUAUUUCAUUUUCUGGAUAUACCCCACUUUAUCUGCUUGCUACUGAAGGGCAUCCUGAUUGCUUCCAAGUUUAGGCAAUUAUGAAUAACGCUGCUAUAAACAUCCAGUCCUGCAGUUGGAAAAAUCCAAGAUCAUGGCACUGGCAGGUUUUGUGCUGCUGAGGGCCUGCUAUUCACUUACAAGAUGGUGGCUUGAGUGCUGCAUUCCCCAGAUUACAGGAAUAGUGUUCCUCACAUAGCAGAAGAGAAAGAUAAAUGAACCCACUCUUGCAAGCCCAAUUUUAUUUUGUUUUGUUUGUUUGUUUUUGAGACAAGGUCUCACUUGGUCACCCUGGAGGUUCAAGUGCAGUGGCACAAUUGCUUCUCACUGUAACCUCUGCUUCCUCUGCUCAAGUGAUCAUCCCACCUCAGCCUCCGAGUACCUGGAACUACAGGGAACGACUACCACCAUGCUUGUCUAAUUUUUGUUUGUUUUUUGCUGGAGAAUGGCUUUUACCCUGUUAGCCAGGCUGGUCUCAAACUCCCUGGCUCAAGCGAUCUACCUGCCUGAGCCUUCCAAAAUGCAUGGAUUAUAGGCAUGAUCUACUGCAUCUAGCCACAAGCCCAUUUUAUAAUAGCAUUAUUCCAUUCAGCCAAAGCCCUUGUGAGCUAAACUCUUAUUCUUAGGUCCCAAAUUCUAAGACCAUUGGAUUAGGGAUCAAGUCUAACACAUGAAAUUUAAGGGAGACAAAAGCAUUCAAACCACAGCGCUUUUUUGUCUGUAUGUAAUUGUUCAAGAAAGUUAAGAAAAAGUUUUUUUCAUUAAGAACUCUCAAGACAGUAAAAACAGAGAAACAAAAACAGAACAAGGGUAGCUGAGACUAAACCAGGAAGACAACAUCAAGGAAGCCACAGUAGUUCAGAGAACUAAAACAUGGAUUCAAGAUUUAUAGAAGAUUCAAAAUUAAAAAAAAAAAGGGCUUGGCAAAUUUAUAAAGAUUGAAUAGGUAUGUAAUUAAUCUAAGGUACUUUCUUCAUGACCCGAAUGGUGAUGAUAUUAAUAAUACCAGAAAACACUUACGUAGCAUUUAGUAUGAACAGUGUUUUCAAGAUCAUUUAAUUCUUGCAACAAUUCUGUGUAGCAAAUAAUAUGAUUUUUUUAUAGAAGAUGAUAGUAGUGACAAGGGAAGCAUGAUGCCUGAUGAUAUACUGCACUGGAAUCUUCCAUGGAGUAAAAUAUUGUGUGUAAAUAAACAAAAAUAUUUGAGUUACUUGUUUUAUUCAAUGCCUUAGUGUUAUAUAAUAUCUUAACAAUGGAAAACAAAAAUUCUAUAAUUAAGAUAAAUUUUAGUGCUUCAUAGAUAGAAUUAUUAUUCAAAAGAUUAAUACAAUAGUGUAUUGGCCAAAUACAACCUCCAUUGCAAAGUAGUGAGAACAAACACGUGCAGAAAAACUAACACUUUACCCACAUAUAUUGGUUUGGAUUUUUUUCAGAAAGUUUAAUUUUAUAUAAAUAUUUUACCACUUUAUAUUAGUUUGGUCCAAAAGUAACUGUGGUUUUGCUAAUAAGUAUGAAUUUUCAAUCAAGUAUUUGGGAGGAAUGUUAGAUUCUGCAACUGAUGCUUUAUAGGGAAAAUAGUUACUGGCAUAGAAGAACAAAAACUCUAUUUUAAAGUUAACCCAUAUGUCUGACUCUUCAGAAAAUUUUUACUACUGCACUGACAGAUUAAGUUUCUUUCGUGUUGGGGGCUGUAGGGAAAAGAAUCAUAAAAUUUUUACAGAUUUAUUUCCUUUCCAGAUUCUAUUUGCAAAGCAAGACUCACAAAAGUUUUUUUAAUAUAGAUUUAAGUUUUCCAUGAUAGUGGGAAAGUUUUCAAGAUAACUCUAUACAUAAGCUCCUAAAUCUUCUGAGUCUCUGCUAGACAUGAAAAAAAGUACAUUGUCUUUCACUUCCUUCUGUGCUAAGAAUUUAGGCUACAAAGAAAAUUUAAAGGCAAAAUCCUUAUGUGAACUUAUUCAUUCUAUAUAAUUGUUAGACUUCAUUUUGUCUAAUUAUUAUUAAUCAUUUAAUAAAAGCAGAUGGGGAUAAAA